Molecule: long non-coding RNA, 4360 nt
Organism: Nothobranchius furzeri (turquoise killifish)
Lineage: Eukaryota; Metazoa; Chordata; Actinopteri; Cyprinodontiformes; Nothobranchiidae
Source: RefSeq, a predicted model, not a curated record
GCACAAUAUUCAUUCAGACUGACAGAGGGUGUGUGUGUGUGUAUGCGCGUGCGCCCUGGUUUGCACUUCCUAUUGCUCCUCACUCUCUCUCCAGUCAGCCUGCAGUUUCAAGCAGCAGGAAGAAGACACCCGAGAGGAAGAAAGUAAAGGAAAGAGUAUUUAGGCGACAGACAAAGGAGGCGAGGGAGAACGACAGGGAGCAGAGGAGUAACACGGCUCAGGGGGAAAGGGGAGAGGUGAGAAGCACAAAUCCAAAGAGAACAAGGAUGAAGACUGCUGCUCGGUCACCAGAACGAUGAAGAGCAGAAGCUUCGGCCUCCAGACUGAGACCUGAUGAUCCUUCGGUUUCGGUCUUCUUCGUGUGUCUGGAGUUUCAGAAUGAAAACCCAAAAGUUAUUCUCACACCAUGGUCUCGGGGAAGUGGUGUCUAUCUCCAGCUGUCUGUUUCCACGAGGUGAAGCUGCACCUGGACAGAUCCUGCUGGUCAUGGCCGUCUGAUCCUCGUAGCGCUGGGACAUGACGGCUGGCUCUUUGAGUUGCUCGGAUCUUGGGGAACAUUCAACGCUGUCGGUGAGUUUGUAACUCAGCCAAAACCAUCGAGUGUUGAGUGUACCCGGACAUCUGAGUUCACAUCACUACCGGAGAGCAGCUGGAGCCUGGACUUGAGGACGGUCAGCUCACAAUGCUGGCUGCAUUCCAUUUAGCUGUAGCAGCUCUCUGGUCCAUCAUCAUCAUCAUCACCUUCGUUUGUAACGUGCUUUCCAUCAGCCAGAAGGUGAACCAAAGUGCUGUACAUGCAUAAAAGAUUUUACAACAUCACUGACACAUGCAAGGGCCAACCAAAUAUCCAGAGACAAAUAAAAGCAGCAAUUAAAAAAAAAAAACUAAAUAAAACUGGAAGAGCAAAAUUAUCUAAAAAUAAGGCUAAGUCACGUGCAGAGGGAGCGCCACAGCAUGACAGCGAGUCUUCAUCCAACUCUUAAAAACCGGCAGUGAGGACGCUUGUCUGACCACGAGUGGAAGGAACGUCAUUCCACAGCUUAAGCCUGAUUCAUGCUUCUGCGUCUGCGUCAGUGCGGGGACACGCAACGCCAUUAUCCGUCCUUGCGGGCCUGCUGGAGAGCUCCGCAAGGACGGACGGAGUCGAGCUCUCUUUUCUAAACAUCCGCCAGUCGAGACGGACAACGCAAGCUUGUGAUUGGUCAGGACGCCGCUGUUGUUCACAGCGCCGCCAUUGCGCCCUCAAAAACAUAAAGAGAGCCGAGGAUAACUAGCGGCAGACACGGAGAAGCUUGAAGAAAACCUCGUGAAAAAACUCUCAAAAUAUGAACGUUUAAUUCUCCCGUGACUGGAGGAGUGAAAAGAUGUGCAGCAAGCGUUUUAUUUGUGGACAGAAAUGACAGGAAACGUGGGUUUAGAGGUGGCGAGCGCAUGAAGAGGUGGAGGAGGAUGAGAGACAAAUAUGUUCGUGUUAAAAGUCUCUUAUAUACACAAAAACACAAUAUAAACACACCAUCUUGGACCGAUACAUGACAGGAUACCACAGAACAGCGCUACGCCCUCUGCUGUCCUGCCGGGCAAUUGCUGUGCAACACUCUCCAGGAGACGGAGAAGUAUGAGAGCAAAACGCUUCCGUCAGUCCGUGCGUGUCUGUCCCUUUUGGAGCUGACGGAAAAGCAUAAACCAGGCUUUAGGGGCCUGAACUGAGAGAGCCCCGCCUCCUCUAGUCAAGCAUUGCAAGCGUGGUAUGACUAGUAAGUCUUGCUGUGUUGACCUAAGUGCACGUGAUGGGUUGUGUUGGGUGAGUAGCUCAGACAGGUCGCUCGGGGCACAGCCCUGCAGAGACUUUAAAACAACCUGACUGAAAGGAACUGGAAGCCAGUGCAGAUGGCCGGGCCAAGACAGGCGUGAUACCUUCCUGCUUUCUGGUGCCGGUCAGGAAUCUAGCUGCAGCAUUUUGUGCAAGCUGGAGCCGAGCAAAGGCAGCCUUGCUAACUCCUGAGUAAAGGGAGUAGCAGUGGUCUAGGCAGGAAGCAAUAAAGGCAUGGACUACGGUCUCCAGACACCCUCCAGGUGAGCCCACAGCGCUAGCGACUUGAUCCUGGAUAGGUGGCGAAGAUGGAAACAGCAAGAACUCACCACUCAUCAGUAUGAGUCUCUAGCUUUAGUGAUGCAUCCCACUUCACACCCGAUCAGUUCACUGAUACUCAUGAGCCUUUGUUAGUCAUGUUAGUACUUUAUACCACGUUAGUAAUGCUACUGCUGUAUGGGAAUUAAUAAUAUUAAUUAUUAUUAAAAUAAUAAUAAAUCAUUGGGACACUUAAAGGCCCUUUUAUACUUUUUAGUUUUUAAAACAAUCAGUCACUGAGUUUUUCAUGCAGGCCGAACAUGAAAAUAGUCUCCUACACCUAUCUGCUGCAUCAGCUUCUGAUAGAAAACAGGCGGUGAAACUCUAGGAUUAGAAAAACCCGACAGAUCUACGUCUGUGACAGAUCAUCUGCUGCUGUGGCCCCCAGACUCUGGACCCCUCUCCCCGUGAGCCUGAGAUCAGUGGACUCAGUGGUCUCCUUUAAGAAGCAGCUGAAGACUCACCUUCCAUUUUUGGUUCUUUUUCAAACACAGAUAAGGUUUUUCUUUACCUUGCUGACGGUUUUGCCGCAAACGAAAGCGUCAGCAAGGUAAAGAAAAACCUUAUCUGUGUUUGAAAAAGAACCAAAAAUGGAAUUUGAAGACAAACACAGCAAGAACGUACAAAAGAUGUUUGAAGACUCACCUGUUCAGGCUUUGGUGUGACCUUCAUCACCACCCUCUCCUCGUUCUGAUCAAAUCAAAUUCACUUUAUUUAUCCAAUUAGGAACUUCGAUUGCAGAUAGUGUCAGCAUAGUCCAUAAAAACAGCAUCAAAACACACAUACACACACCAUCUAUUUAAAAGAGUACUCACACCUACACGCACGUAAUUAAAAGGAAUUUAAAAUGAAAUAAUAAAAUAAUAAAAGAUUUCCAGUUCAAUCUGGAUUCACCGUUAUGUGGUUACAGUCAGUUUUGCUGUGGCGUUCUGCUCUUUCUACAUAUUCCGCUUUUCUCUGAAUCAACCGAUUUCCCUCUUUCCUAUUCAUUUUCCUUCUCCCUUUCCUUACAUUUUUAAUCGCAAUGAAAUAUUUUUGUCAUUUUAAACCUAUUUUUUAAUCAUUUUAAAAAUAUUUUUAAGAUUAAAAUAUUUUGUUUUUUGGAGCGCCUCGUGAUUUUUAUCUUGAGAGUCGUUUCUUUCUUUCUUUUUCUUUCUUUCUUUCUUUCUUUCUUUCUUUCUUUCUUUCUUUCUUUCUUUCUUUCUUUCUUUCUUUCUUUCUUUCUUUCUUUCUUUCUUUCUUUCUUUCUUUCUAUCACACUGUCACACUGUCACUUAACAUUCAUUGACUCACCCAUCUUGAGUCACGAGGGGGAAGACUGUUGUUGGUUUAUUGCCCAGGAAACAGCAGAGAACAUCCCAGCUAGUAGAAGCUAACCAUUAGCAUUAGCAACCCACCACACAGCAGAACUCCUCCAGUUUUGUGUUAUUUGUGGAGAUAAACAUCAACGUUGCAGAGCAAACAGAGUCAGUGGUGGAGUUGUGUUGCUGUUAACCAAUCAGAGGAGAGAUGUCAAAAUACCGGGAAAUAAGAGACCAGAUCCUGCCGUCUGAAGCUACUUUCUCCUCCGGCUGAAUUCUCCGUGCUAAAACAGGCACACUGGAGGUUUUUCCCCCCAGAGUAUGACUUACAAGGCAUUAAUUCCUACGAGAGACAACCGUAAAUGUAAUAAAUAUUUGAGUGAACUUUUUGUUUUUAAAUUAGACAUUAAACAAAGGAAAUGUUGAGCGGGUUUCUUCUGCUGCUGCCUUGGCCUCCAGUUUCCUGGUCUGCUCUGGAGCAUCAUGACAUAAUUUCAGAUGAAACAUCUGGGCUUCGGGUCAAAUCUCAGUAUUGUUUCAUGGUGGUGCCAGUUUCACAGCUUCACUGUAACUUGAAGACUUCCACAACAGGUCAAGUGCCUUGCUUUCCCGCAGAUGUCUUCUCACAGGGACCAAACCUCUGCAUGGACACGUUCUGUCCCAGUGCAGGAUUCUGGUUCACAUUCAUCGCUGUCGGUGGGUUGGUGAUGGUGUCAGCUCGCCGGUCGGUGAAUGUCAGCCGUGUCCGUGCAUGGCUGCCUCUUCUGCAUCUUGGAUUUUCUUGAUUUCAGCAGUUAGCAUUUGCACAGGUAAGGCGCUUGAGCCAUGAUCAAGUGGUGUUGGACCCAAAGUACAGGUGAGGUGCAGGAGACAGACAGGUGACUCCAAAAGAAUGAAUAAAAACUAGUUUCGGUCCAGAUUAAGGACAUGA